Molecule: ribosomal RNA, 1173 nt
Filed under: Triticum aestivum (bread wheat)
Lineage: Eukaryota; Viridiplantae; Streptophyta; Magnoliopsida; Poales; Poaceae
Description: partial small subunit ribosomal RNA
Source: RNAcentral
AUGGCUGGUGAUACUGCUCGCCGUUCUAGGAUCUGUGGCUUCCACGGCUGCUGUGCCGCCGCCGUCGGUUUUUACUACAACUCCAGGUACAGGAGGUGGAAGAAGGAUCUGGAGCAGCUGGCCAAGUCCAUGCAACGACUCCCGGGGAUGCCAUGUCGGAUCGACUUCUCCGACAUUAAGAAGGCCACGAAGAACUUUGACGGCACAAUGAAGUUGGGAUCAGGAACCUUUGGCUCCGUGUACAGAUGCAGGCUUCCUGCGGCACUAGAAACGGGCCGUCCAGAAAUGGAGGUGGCCGUCAAGAAGUUCACGCGAAACGACGACCGGCGCUUCGACGACUUCCUGGACGAGGUCAGCGUCAUCAACCGUCUGCGCCACAAGAACAUCGUCCCUCUCAUCGGUUGGUCUUACCAUGAUGGGGAGCCCCUCCUCAUCUUUGAGCUCAUGCCCAAUGGCAGCUUGGACCAACAUCUCUUCCAUCUAAGAACACCAAUUCUCCUAUGGGACACCCGCUAUGCCAUCGUGAGGGACAUAGCCACCGGCCUGCACUACGUUCAUCAUGAGUAUGAGCCCACAGUUCUUCAUCGUGAUAUCAAGGCGAGAAACAUCAUGCUCGAUUCCACCUUUGGUGCCCGCCUGGGUGACUUCGGCAUUGCCUGCACGGUCCCUCUUGACCGUAACUCCGUCACCGGCCUCGCCGGGACACAUGGCUACAUAGCGCCGGAGUACGCCUGUAGCUACAGAGCUACGAGAGAGACUGACAUCUAUGCGUUCGGUGUCGUCGUCCUCGAGAUCGUGACCGGCAGACGGGCGCUCGACAGGGAUGUCCCGUCUGAAGGUCACAUCACAGACUGGAUAUGGCGUUUCCAUUGGGAGGAAAAGUUGCUCGAUGCCAUGGAUCCCGUGCUUGCCAUGGCGGGGUUCGAUGAUGAUGACGCCAAACGCCUAAUGCUGCUUGGCUUGGCGUGCACCAACCCAAACCCGUCGAACCGGCCAAGCAUGGUGGAAGUGGUGCAGGUUAUCACCAAGUUAAAGCUACCGCCGGCCGUGCCUCCUAAGAAACCAACGUUUGUGUGGCCUCCACAAGGAUGGAGUUCAUUGAGCUCUUACUUUAGCACAGAGACAAGUACAAUUUAUGCAAGUGGCUCAUCAACCAAGGCCAGACAGGUGUAG